Molecule: long non-coding RNA, 1529 nt
Filed under: Strigops habroptila (Kakapo)
Lineage: Eukaryota; Metazoa; Chordata; Aves; Psittaciformes; Psittacidae
Description: lncRNA (ENSSHBG00005003327.1)
Source: RNAcentral
GUAUAAGCACAGAGGGAAGAGUUUAUUAAAUUAUUAUAUUCAUAAAGGCUGAAAAAUAAAAGCAAAGCUUUUUUUUGGUCAUUAUUAAACACAUACAUAUUUAGAAAAUUGGUACGUCUUGUACUCUGUGGAUGAGUACAUCUUAGCCUAAAGAGUCUACUGAUGGAGAAUCCUUACAAAAACAUUAUUAAAAUCAGUUUUAACCAACUCCGUGAAGAACAGAAGUCUGAAGCAUAACAAAAGAGCCUUGAAGACAUACACGCCUCAAAUGCAGCUAAAAACCCACUGCCUCGACAAGCAAAGUUUUGGGACAUGUACAGAAACACACUUCCUUGGCUAGUCUUAAGCAACAGGGCAUUUGUAGAGCCAUGACAUCAGAUUUCUUAACCCUGCUGCCCAGGGAAUCUUUUUCCAUCUGCAUCCUUACACUGGAGAUUGUGCCUCAGUAAGCCACAACCUUCAUCCUCAGUGUGCCAGGCUAUGGCAGAACCUGCAGAAAGCAACAGCCAGGCAACACGCAUACUUUAUAUGCCCUGACCAUAGGUGCAUCACCCAUGAAAGGUUCUUACGACCCUUAAGCUUAGUUUUCAGUGGGACACCAGUGGCUCAGGAGGAAAUCUCAAGGGUUUACCCAAAAGGGUAGCUGGAUGCCCCACUGUCAACGUGAGUGGGGCAUUCAACUAUUUAAUGCCUUAUAAACAUGUCUGUGUUUAGCAAUUGAGCUUUUUGAUGUUUGAUAAUUUUAUCAAGCUACCUUCUGAGCCCAGAAGCAAAGAUAAUGGAGAAUCAGCAUCAGUUUCUUUGAGGGAAGGCAAAAGGAGAGCAAGAUUUAUUCUUGCACAUUUGUUAUGCGUAUUUUGGGGAGUUAUACAACUUUAGUUUUGCAAAGCAAUUUUCUGAACUUUCACUGACAAACAAAUCUGAUCUGAAAAAUCUUACAUCAGCAGGGUUGGUUUGCAGAUGUUAUUUGCACCAUUUAUUUAUCAAAAAUAACUAGAAAAUGUUUUUAAAACAUCAUUCCAGACCGUACAAAUAGGAAUGUGACAUGGGCUGUCUGUUUUACUUAUACUGUUUUACUGCUUCAUAUUCUGAGCAAACAGAGAGGCUAUUUUCCCCAGGGGUUCAGGAGGGCAUACUAUUUCAUUUCUUCAGAAAAUUGUUUCUCUGGAUUUCAAUCUUUUUAGCUAGAUAUGACAAAAUAUAAUAUCAAGAACACUUAUGCUUUUUAUCAGCUCCAUUUUCAAAGCAUAAAUAAUAGAUCAGUAUAUAUUUAAGUCAGGUGACCAAGUCUUAUUUCAGAAAUCAAAUAAGCAUCUUGCAAUUUUUAAAUGACGCUGUACAUUUUCACUACAGUAUCAUUAUGCUUUUAAAAUGCUUUCAAAAGACCAAUUUAUAAGCAUGGAACGAUUCUGAAGAUAUUUCACUAGUGUUAAUAAUACCUCACUCAGGUGGCAUUCAAUUUUCUGAAUCCUUGGGUUAAUGAGGCAAAUAAAUCAAAAUUAAAUUGGCCUUGGGAAAAAAAAAAAAAA